RNAcentral lists this ribosomal RNA (253 nucleotides) under uncultured bacterium. RNAcentral describes it as "partial 16S ribosomal RNA". It matches the Rfam family "Bacterial small subunit ribosomal RNA", at positions 524 to 776 of the family's 1533-position model. The record is from RNAcentral.
UACGUAGGGUGCGAGCGUUGUCCGGAAUUACUGGGCGUAAAGAGCUCGUAGGUGGUUUGUCGCGUUGUCCGUGAAAACUCACAGCUCAACUGUGGGCGUGCGGGCGAUACGGGCAGACUGGAGUACUGCAGGGGAGACUGGAAUUCCUGGUGUAGCGGUGAAAUGCGCAGAUAUCAGGAGGAACACCGGUGGCGAAGGCGGGUCUCUGGGCAAUAACUGACGCUGAGGAGCGAAAGCGUGGGGAGCGAACAGG